GUUUACAGAUGGAAAACAUUAAUUCACUUGCACAGAAAGAAUCGAUGUGUCACAGCUGCCAUCGGCAGGACGGCCAGAGAGCUGUGCAGGUCCAUCAGGCUCAGCUGCAGCUUUUCAUCUGCCCUUCUCCGGUCCUCCUGCAGCUGGACAGAUAGCCCACAAGGGCACGGGGGACGCAGACCCCCCCUGCCAGCCGCAGCAGUCGCUCCUGCCAGCGCUCCCUUUCCUCCUGACCAUUCCCAGUUUGCAGGCUGGUGCCCUGUGUGGCAGAGGAGGAGAGAGCUGCGGGCAGAAGGAAAACAGUUUGCUGGGAUUCCUCCAGCCCGCUGCCAGAUGUCUUCUCUGGCAUUUUGGGGAUGGGUAGAGACUGUGGGAGCAGCUUCGAGGCUCUGGGCAGUAGGGAAGGAAGCAAAGAUGCAGCUUCAGGCAGCGGACUCUGAGCUGGAGCGGUGCAGCCAGGCACGGCUGCACAGCUCACAGUCUGGACACACGGAAGAAGUUCGUCCAGCUGAGGGCUGCAGGGCUGUCCUUACCAAGCACUCCCCCAUCCUGCAGUUCUGCAUGGGCACCGAUUGCUCAAGCUCUUCUCACUGCAGGAGCUCAGAAGCGACAACAGCCCCGACCCCAAACCAGGCAGAUCUGCAGUGACUUCAGCAAUCCCACGUGGUGCCGCAGCAGAAAUGGGUCCUGCGGUACGUCAGUGAUCUGUGACUUGAGGAGCGCAGGGGCUGCACGAAGUACGCACGCUGCAGCCUCCCUACUUCUUUGGGUUUUGGGAUUGAUGUCUGAGCCAAAAGGCUACACGCUGCCAUACAGGCAGGUGCCAAGUUCACCCUGUCAUUGAGGACACCAAAUCCCCUAUGUAUUAGAAAUUUCACCAAUUGCCAUUGAGGACAGACUGGAAUCAAAAUAUGUGGGUCAUCAUAGCUCGUCCAUUGAUAAAGCUCCCCUUGCUGGACAGGCAGACCCAAUUGGCUGCUGGUCAUUACUUUUUUUUUUUUUGCUUCAUGCCUUUAUGGGAACUUUGAGAUCACAGCCAGAAGCAGUGAUGGAGCACCUGGUGAGGGGUGUAGCCCUGCAAGCACAGGUGGAAGCAAUGCACCUGUGGGACCAGGUGGGGCUGAGCCUCGUUCCACCCCUCCCUCACCUCAUUUGAGGGCCCAAAGGCAGUGCCUCUUUCUGGUGACUUUCUCUGUGGGUUGCUGGGUGAGCUCUGCUUCUUGGAAAGCGGUAAGUGAUUCUUUCUUUAUUCUAGGGUUUUGAUCUCUGCCUUUCUGUGGGGAUCCUAGGCUGGUUUAGAGUAGCUAUAUUUGUUAUGCCUGUCCUUAUGAUGCCCUUCAAUUGUUUUUUGAGGGAAGCGAAGGGGGUCUCUCCCUUUCUCUGAACUGGUAAUGCAGGGGAUGGUGUACAUUCCUUUCUUUUGCUCUUAUCUCA
RNAcentral lists this long non-coding RNA (1434 nucleotides) under Phasianus colchicus (ring-necked pheasant). RNAcentral's name for it is "lncRNA (ENSPCLG00000014091.1)". Lineage: Eukaryota; Metazoa; Chordata; Aves; Galliformes; Phasianidae. The record is from RNAcentral.